Haliotis rubra (blacklip abalone) is the source of this 263-nucleotide long non-coding RNA. RefSeq lists it as uncharacterized. The record is from RefSeq and is a predicted model, not a curated record. The transcript is spliced from 3 exons. Lineage: Eukaryota; Metazoa; Mollusca; Gastropoda; Lepetellida; Haliotidae.
AUAUAGCAUUUAUAUUUAUCAUAGAACAUUUAAAAUACAUUCCUGGUGGCCCUUGCUGAAUUGUGACUCUAUAGUAAUGUCGUAAAAUAUAUAUAUGAUGAAGUCACUGAUUCUUUUGAUGAAUUUGCGGGGUGUUAUUUUAAAAUCGGUUCUGUUUGUUAUGCAAUAUUAUUUUUGGGCUGUGAAAGAAGUCGACUGUCGUAAUGGGGCGUUAUACGAUGUACAUGAUAUAUUUCAUUAAUAAAUUUACUUAUCUAAAAUAA